Molecule: ribosomal RNA, 253 nt
Filed under: uncultured bacterium
Lineage: Bacteria
Description: partial 16S ribosomal RNA
Rfam family: Bacterial small subunit ribosomal RNA
Source: RNAcentral
UACGGGGGGGGCAAGCGUUGUUCGGAAUUACUGGGCGUAAAGGGCUCGUAGGUGGCCAACUAAGUCGGACGUGAAAUCCCUCAGCUUAACUGGGGAACUGCGUCCGAUACUGGAUGGCUCGAGUUUGGGAGAGGGAUGCGGAAUUCCAGGUGUAGCGGUGAAAUGCGUAGAUAUCUGGAGGAACACCGGUGGCGAAGGCGGCCUGCUGGGACGUGGCUGACGCUGAGGCGCGACAGCGUGGGGGGCAAACAGG